This 496-nucleotide ribosomal RNA is filed under the name uncultured bacterium. Its description in RNAcentral is "partial 16S ribosomal RNA". It matches the Rfam family "Bacterial small subunit ribosomal RNA", at positions 29 to 523 of the family's 1533-position model. The record is from RNAcentral.
AGUGAACGCUAGCGGCAGGCCUAACACAUGCAAGUCGAGGGGUAGAGGUUGCUUGCAACCUUGAGACCGGCGCACGGGUGCGUAACGCGUAUGCAAUCUGCCUUGUACUGAGGGAUAGCCCAGAGAAAUUUGGAUUAAUACCUCAUAGUAUCUUUUCCCGGCAUCGGGAGUUUAUUAAAGUUCCAACGGUACAAGAUGGGCAUGCGUACCAUUAGCUAGUUGGUAUGGUAACGGCAAACCAAGGCAAUGAUGGGUAGGGGUCCUGAGAGGGAGAACCCGCACACGGGUACUGAGACACGGGACAGACUGCUACGGGAGGCAGCAGGGGGGAAGAUUGGGGAAUGGGAGCAAGCGUGAACCAGCCAUGCCGAGGGCAGGAUGAAGCAUCUAUGGUGUGUAAACUGCUUUUAUACGGGAAGAAACGCCGGUUGGUGAACCGGCUUGGCGGUACGGUAAGAAAAAAGAUCGGCUAGCUCCGGGCCAGCCGCCACCGUAA